CCAGAAAUAAAAAAAAAUGAAAAAAAACUAAGCCCCUACUCCGCCGCUCUACUCAUCGAUCCUUCAAACGGAUCUCCGAACCCCCGCUCAGGCUCCGACGGCGACAGAGAGAGCGAGGAUUCGACGGUUAGGUAUUUUCUUUGGACUUUUUGCUACCGCUCUACCUCUUUAAAACGCCUAAUGGAAUCUUAAAUAAAAAGAACCACGAAAAAAAAGAAAAAAAAAAGAGAAGGUAGAAGGACCCAGAAAUCACCUUUUGGUGCUUUUUGAUAUUUUUUUUGUAUUCUGAUCGCUUUCUUUUUUUUCAAAAGGGUACAUCGAUGGGGUUUUUAUAACCCAAAAAGAAAAGAAUAUAAUUUUUUUUCUGUUUCUCCUAUUUUCUUUUUCUUUUUUUUCUCUGCCGAUGUUUGCCCCUCUUUUCGUUCGUUGUCUGUCUUUUGCUGCUAGUUUGCUCGUUUCUUGCAGGUACGGAGAGCAGGGCUUGGGACGUGGCGUGUACGGAGGCAAAGCAAGCAGCGGUGGUGCACGUGUGAGGUCGCGCACGCGGGCAGAGGCUCGGCACGUGGGGACGAAGGCCUUGGUGGUUGCGGCACUGGAAGCCAAAUGCUGCUAGGGUUUCAGUCUCGGUUAGGCUAGGUGUGGGCCAUUGGGCCAUUAGGUUUAGGUUAGUGGGUUAGGUGUACGGGACCUCUGUUUAGUGGGUUUCGGGCAUGUAAAUUUGGGUUUUCAAAUUGGGUCAAUGUAAUGGACAUCUGGACUUUGGUUAUUGGUUUUAUUUAUUUUAGUGGGCCCGGGUCAAAGUUGGGCAUUACAGAUACUUUAGCAGUACUUAAGUCUUUCCAAUUAAGGAUGUUCGACAAUCUGUUCUGAGUUGAUGGUUUGGUGCUUCUAAAUAUAAAAAUGAUAAGGCAGUAGACACUGUGUUAUUGUUGAUAUUGAUUAGAUUUAAUCAUCUCUUAGCUAUUGGGAGACCAGGUCAGCUUUGUUGAUUGUUGUUACGGCCUUAAGAAUUGCUGCAGCAUUUGCUGCCCGGGGAAACAGGGUAUGUUACGGUCAUGAAAAUUAUGAAAUUUGCUUGGUACUGCAAACUAAUGGAUACACUUGUGGAUAAAAUGAGGAACCUGGCUAUAAGUGGAAAUGGACGUAUGCCCGUAAAACUGGAAAAAUAUGUCUAGAAGAAGUCAAGGUCUUUCCCUUAACUAUAUCUGUUUUCUAUGUUCACUACUUUGAGAAAUCUAAAUUUCUUUUAAGAAACAUAAAAUUUCAUUAGUUGACAAAAUAUUAGAUUACAUAAGAAUCUAUCUUGCUAAAGUUCGUCAUCCCUCCCUUUGACACAACAUAAUAAAAUAUAUACUAACCAACAUAUUUGAAGAAAGCCGGGAACUUAUUCUUUUAGUUAUAUUGCUAGAACAAAGAACUGAAAGACCCUGGUGUAUAUUUCUAGACAUUAAUUUGAACUCCUGUGUCAUAUGUCUCUCCACCUUUCCAAUUUUCUGGUAUGUUGUUUACAGGAAUAAUCCAUGACUCAUCUCCAUCCUCCCCACUCAGUAACAUUCUUAAAGACAAUGGACCACUUGGGGGUGAAUUGGUUGUCCAUACUGCUCCAUGACUCCUAUCCAACAGCUUGCACACAAAGUUCUGAGUCUGCACACAUUAGAGGUAAGCUCAUUAGUUAACUACUAUACUGGUUCUUGUAGAUUUGACCACCAAAUUUAUCUUCCCUUUGCAACUCCAUAGUCAUACCUGCUGAAGCUAAACAGGAAAUCAAGUUUGGAAAGAGCAAAUAAUACCUCACAUAGCUGCACGGCUGUGAUAUCCUUGUCACCUUGUUGAUACCAUAAAACAAAUGCAAAAUAAUGAGGGUAGUUGCUGUUCUCAUCAAUCUUGAUUGUAAUAUUUUUGUUCGGAUAG
RNAcentral lists this long non-coding RNA (1911 nucleotides) under Gossypium barbadense (sea-island cotton). Its description in RNAcentral is "long non-coding RNA (GBAR_LNC018748)". Lineage: Eukaryota; Viridiplantae; Streptophyta; Magnoliopsida; Malvales; Malvaceae. The record is from RNAcentral.